UUGACCUCAAAUCAGGAGAAA
Molecule: ribosomal RNA, 21 nt
Filed under: Melanoleuca sp. EE-2012
Lineage: Eukaryota; Fungi; Basidiomycota; Agaricomycetes; Agaricales; Pluteaceae
Description: partial 28S ribosomal RNA
Source: RNAcentral